Molecule: ribosomal RNA, 492 nt
Filed under: uncultured bacterium
Lineage: Bacteria
Description: partial 16S ribosomal RNA
Rfam family: Bacterial small subunit ribosomal RNA
Source: RNAcentral
AGUGAACGCUGGCGGUAGGCCUAACACAUGCAAGUCGAACGGCAGCACAGUAAGAGCUUGCUCUUACGGGUGGCGAGUGGCGGACGGGUGAGGAAUACAUCGGAAUCUACUUUUUCGUGGGGGAUAACGUAGGGAAACUUACGCUAAUACCGCAUACGACCUACGGGUGAAAGCAGGGGAUCUUCGGACCUUGCGCGAUUGAAUGAGCCGAUGUCGGAUUAGCUAGUUGGCGGGGUAAAGGCCCACCAAGGCGACGAUCCGUAGCUGGUAUGAGAGGAUGAUCAGCCACACUGGAACUGAGACACGGUCCAGACUCCUACGGGAGGCAGCAGUGGGGAAUAUUGGACAAUGGGCGCAAGCCUGAUCCAGCCAUACCGCGUGGGUGAAGAAGGCCUUCGGGUUUUAAAGCCCUUUUGUUGGGAAAGAAAAGCAGCAGGUUAAUACCCCGCUGUUCUGACGGUACCCAAAGAAUAAGCACCGGCUAACUUCGUA